Long non-coding RNA from Lycium barbarum (goji berry), 747 nucleotides. RefSeq lists it as uncharacterized. The transcript has 3 exons. The record is from RefSeq and is a predicted model, not a curated record. Lineage: Eukaryota; Viridiplantae; Streptophyta; Magnoliopsida; Solanales; Solanaceae.
AGAAGUUGAAGACAACUUCAACAACCAUUCUCGGCCAAGAAACCAAGAAAAUCAAAUCCAAAUCAAGCCACCCCAAAAUUUUUUCCUUGGUAUAAAUCAACUAUUUAGAGGUCCCUAAGUAGCGUGGAAGUAUUGUUGGAGCGAUCAAGUCAUUCAUUUAAGAGAUUACAAACCCUAACCCCUUUGUGGAGUUGAAGAAGAAAGACCUUGGGGAGCCCGAGGCGUAGAUUUGGAGUAGCUUUAGAUUGGCUAGCUUGGAAGUGCGUUCGAGGUACAGACGCGCAGUUCGGUGAUCCCCCAGUUUAGGAUAUCCCCUUCAGCUGUUUGGAGUGCUCUUCUCAUUUCAGAGCAUACACUUUUGGUAUAUACUUUUGUUCGUUAUCUAUGUUGUAUAUAUUCGUUCAUGGGUACGGCGGGGCCCUGUUCCGCCAUAUGAUUCGUUUGGUCUGUUUAGAGGUCUGUAGACUUAUUUGUGGGUGUGUGUGCCUACUACUGUACAGUUAUGUCCAUAUGAUCUCUUUUGUUAUGGCAGCCUUGUCGGCUCGCACAUGUAUAUGUUGUUCUGUUGGCACUGUGUGGCCUUUGUUGGUAUUUGCUGUGUACAGGGUUACUUUGGAUAGUCCGAAAAACAAAGGAAACUCUGUCGAAAUUUUCUUUGAAAAUCUUGUAAAUUUGAAACACCGCCUUGUCGGCUUCUGUUAUAUACCUGGAUGUGUUUGAUAUAAUCUGAGGCAGCGUUUGAUAUUU